AUGUUCUUCCCGGCCGCCUCUUGGUUUAGUUCACAUGUCUUGAAUUACUUUGAUUCUUUUGGUAACAUCAAACUGGGUUGCAUAGAAGUAACUGCUACUGGGUUUGACCUUUGUGAGGAAUCUACAGCAGCACUUCGAAACUCCCAGGCUGUUUUCAUCAGCAAGCUUACAGCUGACCACAUGAUGGAACUCGAUAAUACUACACUGUACGAUGUACUUGAGAUUCCAAUGAAUACCCGUCGAAGCGAUGUGGUCAUCAGCAUGAAAGCAAUACAGGGCCGCCUUUAUAUCUUAGGUCACUCCAUAGCAGGGAGCAAGAGUGGGCACAUCUGA
Molecule: ribosomal RNA, 333 nt
Filed under: Triticum aestivum (bread wheat)
Lineage: Eukaryota; Viridiplantae; Streptophyta; Magnoliopsida; Poales; Poaceae
Description: partial small subunit ribosomal RNA
Source: RNAcentral